GUGAUAGUGGCGACGGGUGAGUACACGUGGGCAAUCUGCCCUGCACUCUGGGACAAGCCCUGGAAACGGGGUCUAAUACCGGAUACGACACGGGACCGCAUGGUCUUCGUGUGGAAAGCUCCGGCGGUGCAGGAUGAGCCCGCGGCCUAUCAGCUUGUUGGUGAGGUAAUGGCUCACCAAGGCGACGACGGGUAGCCGGCCUGAGAGGGCGACCGGCCACACUGGGACUGAGACACGGCCCAGACUCCUACGGGAGGCAGCAGUGGGGAAUAUUGCACAAUGGGCGAAAGCCUGAUGCAGCGACGCCGCGUGAGGGAUGACGGCCUUCGGGUUGUAAACCUCUUUCAGCAGGGAAGAAGCGAAAGUGACGGUACCUGCAGAAGAAGCGCCGGCUAACUACGUGCCAGCAGCCGCGGUAAUACGUAGGGCGCAAGCGUUGUCCGGAAUUAUUGGGCGUAAAGAGCUCGUAGGCGGCUUGUCACGUCGGAUGUGAAAGCCCGGGGCUUAACCCCGGGUCUGCAUUCGAUACGGGCAGGCUAGAGUUCGGUAGGGGAGAUCGGAAUUCCUGGUGUAGCGGUGAAAUGCGCAGAUAUCAGGAGGAACACCGGUGGCGAAGGCGGAUCUCUGGGCCGAUACUGACGCUGAGGAGCGAAAGCGUGGGGAGCGAACAGGAUUAGAUACCCUGGUAGUCCACGCCGUAAACGGUGGGCACUAUGUGUGGGCAACAUUCCACGUUGUCCGUGCCGCAGCUAACGCAUUAAGUGCCCCGCCUGGGGGAGUACGGGCCGCAAGGCUAAAACUC
RNAcentral lists this ribosomal RNA (802 nucleotides) under Streptomyces sp. Its description in RNAcentral is "bacterial SSU rRNA". It matches the Rfam family "Bacterial small subunit ribosomal RNA", at positions 89 to 902 of the family's 1533-position model. The record is from RNAcentral. Lineage: Bacteria; Bacillati; Actinomycetota; Actinomycetes; Kitasatosporales; Streptomycetaceae.